RNAcentral lists this ribosomal RNA (585 nucleotides) under uncultured bacterium. RNAcentral describes it as "bacterial SSU rRNA". It matches the Rfam family "Bacterial small subunit ribosomal RNA", at positions 338 to 916 of the family's 1533-position model. The record is from RNAcentral.
CCUACGGGAGGCAGCAGUGGGGAAUUUUGGACAAUGGGCGCAAGCCUGAUCCAGCAAUGCCGCGUGAGUGAAGAAGGCCUUCGGGUUGUAAAGCUCUUUUGUCAGGGAAGAAACGGUGGGGGCUAAUAUCCCCCACUAAUGACGGUACCUGAAGAAUAAGCACCGGCUAACUACGUGCCAGCAGCCGCGGUAAUACGUAGGGUGCAAGCGUUAAUCGGAAUUACUGGGCGUAAAGCGUGCGCAGGCGGUUUUGUAAGUCUGAUGUGAAAUCCCCGGGCUCAACCUGGGAAUUGCAUUGGAGACUGCAAGGCUAGAAUCUGGCAGAGGGGGGUAGAAUUCCACGUGUAGCAGUGAAAUGCGUAGAGAUGUGGAGGAACACCGAUGGCGAAGGCAGCCCCCUGGGUCAAGAUUGACGCUCACGCACGAAAGCGUGGGGAGCAAACAGGAUUAGAUACCCUGGUAGUCCACGCCCUAAACGAUGUCUACUAGUUGUCGGGUUUUAAUUAACUUGGUAACGCAGCUAACGCGUGAAGUAGACCGCCUGGGGAGUACGGUCGCAAGAUUAAAACUCAAAGGAAUUGACGG